UGAUCCUGGCUCAGGACGAACGCUGGCGGCGUGCCUAAUACAUGCAAGUCGAACGAGCUCUCCCAAAUUGAUUUUAUGCUUGCAUAAAUGAUUUUUGGAUUCGGAGCGAGUGGCGAACUGGUGAGUAACACGUGGGUAACCUGCCCCGAAGCGGGGGAUAACAUUUGGAAACAAAUGCUAAUACCGCAUAAUUAGUUGGAACCGCAUGGUUCCAACUUGAAAGAUGGCUCUGCUAUCACUUUGGGAUGGACCCGCGCCGUAUUAGUUAGUUGGUGAGAUAAAAGCCCACCAAGACGAUGAUACGUAGCCGACCUGAGAGGGUAAUCGGCCACAUUGGGACUGAGACACGGCCCAGACUCCUACGGGAGGCAGCAGUAGGGAAUCUUCCACAAUGGACGAAAGUCUGAUGGAGCAACGCCGCGUGAGUGAUGAAGGGUUUCGGCUCGUAAAACUCUGUUGUUAAAGAAGAACAAGUGUUAGAGUAACUGUUAACACUUUGACGGUAUUUAACCAGAAAGCCACGGCUAACUACGU
Molecule: ribosomal RNA, 534 nt
Filed under: Apilactobacillus kunkeei
Lineage: Bacteria; Bacillati; Bacillota; Bacilli; Lactobacillales; Lactobacillaceae
Description: bacterial SSU rRNA
Rfam family: Bacterial small subunit ribosomal RNA
Source: RNAcentral